UACGGGGGGGGCAAGCGUUGUUCGGAAUUACUGGGCGUAAAGGGCUCGUAGGUGGCCAACUAAGUCAGACGUGAAAUCCCUCGGCUUAACCGGGGAACUGCGUCUGAUACUGGAUGGCUGGAGUAUGGGAGAGGGAUGCGGAAUUCCAGGUGUAGCGGUGAAAUUCGUAGAUAUCGGGAGGAACACCAGUGGCGAAGGCGGCGAUCUGGACAGAUAUUGACGCUGAGGUGCGAAAGCGUGGGGAGCAAACGGG
Molecule: ribosomal RNA, 253 nt
Filed under: uncultured bacterium
Lineage: Bacteria
Description: partial 16S ribosomal RNA
Rfam family: Bacterial small subunit ribosomal RNA
Source: RNAcentral